AACGUCUGGUGAUGAUGGCGAAGAGGUCACACCCGUUCCCAUGCCGAACACGGAAGUUAAGCUCUUCAGCGCCGAUGGUAGUCGGGGGUUUCCCCCUGUGAGAGUAGGACAUCGCCAGGCAGA
This 123-nucleotide ribosomal RNA is filed under the name Bacillus velezensis. The record is from RNAcentral. Lineage: Bacteria; Bacillati; Bacillota; Bacilli; Caryophanales; Bacillaceae.